GACGAACGCUGGCGGCGUGCCUAAUACAUGCAAGUAGAACGCUGAAGAGAGGAGCUUGCUCUUCUUGGAUGAGUUGCGAACGGGUGAGUAACGCGUAGGUAACCUGCCUUGUAGCGGGGGAUAACUAUUGGAAACGAUAGCUAAUACCGCAUAACAAUGGAUGACACAUGUCAUUUAUUUGAAAGGGGCAAUUGCUCCACUACAAGAUGGACCUGCGUUGUAUUAGCUAGUAGGUGAGGUAAUGGCUCACCUAGGCGACGAUACAUAGCCGACCUGAGAGGGUGAUCGGCCACACUGGGACUGAGACACGGCCCAGACUCCUACGGGAGGCAGCAGUAGGGAAUCUUCGGCAAUGGGGGCAACCCUGACCGAGCAACGCCGCGUGAGUGAAGAAGGUUUUCGGAUCGUAAAGCUCUGUUGUAAGUCAAGAACGGGUGUGAGAGUGGAAAGUGCACACUGGGACGGUAGCUUACCAGAAAGGGACGGCGAACUACGU
RNAcentral lists this ribosomal RNA (496 nucleotides) under uncultured bacterium. RNAcentral describes it as "partial 16S ribosomal RNA". It matches the Rfam family "Bacterial small subunit ribosomal RNA", at positions 28 to 506 of the family's 1533-position model. The record is from RNAcentral.